GGGCGAAUAGCUCAGUUGGUUAGAGCUUCCGGUUUACACCCGGACGGUCGGGGGUUCGAGUCCCUCUUCGCCCACCA
RNAcentral lists this transfer RNA (77 nucleotides) under Aeromicrobium sp. RNAcentral's name for it is "tRNA-Val". It matches the Rfam family "tRNA". Rfam says of the family: Transfer RNA (tRNA) molecules are approximately 80 nucleotides in length. Their secondary structure includes four short double-helical elements and three loops (D, anti-codon, and T loops). The record is from RNAcentral. Lineage: Bacteria; Bacillati; Actinomycetota; Actinomycetes; Propionibacteriales; Nocardioidaceae.